AACGAACGCUGGCGGCAUGCCUAACACAUGCAAGUCGAACGAGAUCUUCGGGUCUAGUGGCGCACGGGUGCGUAACGCGUGGGAAUCUGCCCUUUGGUUCGGAAUAACAGUUGGAAACGACUGCUAAUUCCGGAUGAUGACGAAAGUCCAAAGAUUUAUCGCCAGAGGAUGAGCCCGCGUAGGAUUAGCUAGUUGGGGUGGGAAAGGCGCACCAAGGCGACGAUCCUUGGCUGGUCUGAGAGGAUGAUCAGCCACACUGGGACUGAGACACGGCCCAGACUCCUACGGGAGGCAGCAGUGGGGAAUAUUGGACAAUGGGCGAAAGCCUGAUCCAGCAAUGCCGCGUGAGUGAUGAAGGCCUUAGGGUUGUAAAGCUCUUUUACCCGGGAUGAUAAUGACAGUACCGGGAGAAUAAGCUCCGGCUAACUCCGCGCCAGCCGCCGCCGUAA
RNAcentral lists this ribosomal RNA (449 nucleotides) under uncultured bacterium. Its description in RNAcentral is "partial 16S ribosomal RNA". It matches the Rfam family "Bacterial small subunit ribosomal RNA", at positions 29 to 523 of the family's 1533-position model. The record is from RNAcentral.